UACGGAGGGGGCUAGCGUUGUUCGGAAUUACUGGGCGUAAAGCGCACGUAGGCGGCGAUUUAAGUCAGAGGUGAAAGCCCGGGGCUCAACCCCGGAAUAGCCUUUGAGACUGGAUUGCUAGAAUCUUGGAGAGGCGGGUGGAAUUCCGAGUGUAGAGGUGAAAUGCGCAGAUAUCAGGAAGAACACCCGUGGCGAAGGCGGCUCUCUGGGACGGUACUGACGCUGAGACGCGAAAGCGUGGGGAGCGAACAGG
RNAcentral lists this ribosomal RNA (253 nucleotides) under uncultured bacterium. Its description in RNAcentral is "partial 16S ribosomal RNA". It matches the Rfam family "Bacterial small subunit ribosomal RNA", at positions 524 to 776 of the family's 1533-position model. The record is from RNAcentral.